GACGAACGCUGGCGGCGUGCUUAACACAUGCAAGUCGAACGGAAAGGCCCUGCUUUUGUGGGGUGCUCGAGUGGCGAACGGGUGAGUAACACGUGAGUAACCUGCCCUUGACUUUGGGAUAACUUCAGGAAACUGGGGCUAAUACCGGAUAGGAGCUCCUGCUGCAUGGUGGGGGUUGGAAAGUUUCGGCGGUUGGGGAUGGACUCGCGGCUUAUCAGCUUGUUGGUGGGGUAGUGGCUUACCAAGGCUUUGAUGGGUAGCCGGCCUGAGAGGGUGACCGGCCACAUUGGGACUGAGAUACGGCCCAGACUCCUACGGGAGGCAGCAGUGGGGAAUAUUGCACAAUGGGCGGAAGCCUGAUGCAGCAACGCCGCGUGCGGGAUGACGGCCUUCGGGUUGUAAACCGCUUUCGCCUGUGACGAAGCGUGAGUGACGGUAAUGGGUAAAGAAGCACCGACUAACUACGUG
This 468-nucleotide ribosomal RNA is filed under the name uncultured bacterium. RNAcentral's name for it is "partial 16S ribosomal RNA". It matches the Rfam family "Bacterial small subunit ribosomal RNA", at positions 28 to 507 of the family's 1533-position model. The record is from RNAcentral.